UCCUUUUUAUGUAAUGACCAUCAAUCAUGAUUAGCUAUAAAUUAGUAUCUGUAUAUCAUAUUUAUUGCCACGAAGUCCUGUUUAGUUACAUCAGAAAUUGAAAUAAUUAUUCAUAAUCGCUCUCAGUGAGUCACAAGGACGACAUGCUUCAAACAUCCUGCUCCUUGUACACACAGAUGUCAUGUGUGAUUAAAAAGAAAGCAUUAGGGGAUCAAACGAUCUUUGGGAUCUGCCAGGUUGCCAUCACUGUUGCUUCUAAGGUAGAGGGCGGAGUCUGAGGCGUUGGAUGGCUGACGGGAAUGAGAAGGGGAGGGUUCUCCACUCAGGGACCGCUGCUUGUUCAGGUCCGGCCUUGACUUACCACCACCAGCACCUAGCAAAAAUAGAGGAACAAUUCUUUGUUUAACUGAUGUUAAUAUUACAUGUAUGUCAAUGAAUUUAAACUUUUUUUUUACUCCUAGUCUUUUGGUUUGAAAUGAUCUAAAGAUUACAGGCACUUGGCAGUCUCACCUAUAAAUAUUUUGACACAAGCUACAUGUAUGUGUCAUGUCUUAAGACAUGUAAACAUGUAAUGCAGUAAAUAUUCUGAAUCAGAACAUUUCUGUGACAUCAUCUGUUGUUCUACAAUGUCCAAUAAUUCCCACACCUAAUAAACAUUUUAUGUCCAAAAGUUA
Ostrea edulis (European flat oyster) is the source of this 674-nucleotide long non-coding RNA. RefSeq lists it as uncharacterized. The transcript has 2 exons. The record is from RefSeq and is a predicted model, not a curated record. Lineage: Eukaryota; Metazoa; Mollusca; Bivalvia; Ostreida; Ostreidae.